GAGUUUGAUCGUGGCUCAGAUUGAACGCUGGCGGCAUGCCUUACACAUGCAAGUCGAACGGUAACAGGUCUUCGGAUGCUGACGAGUGGCGAACGGGUGAGUAAUACAUCGGAACGUGCCCGAUCGUGGGGGAUAACGAAGCGAAAGCUUUGCUAAUACCGCAUGAGAUCUACGGAUGAAAGCAGGGGACCGCAAGGCCUUGCGCGAACGGAGCGGCCGAUGGCAGAUUAGGUAGUUGGUGGGAUAAAAGCUUACCAAGCCGACGAUCUGUAGCUGGUCUGAGAGGACGACCAGCCACACUGGGACUGAGACACGGCCCAGACUCCUACGGGAGGCAGCAGUGGGGAAUUUUGGACAAUGGGCGAAAGCCUGAUCCAGCCAUGCCGCGUGCAGGAUGAAGGCC
RNAcentral lists this ribosomal RNA (403 nucleotides) under uncultured microorganism. RNAcentral's name for it is "bacterial SSU rRNA". It matches the Rfam family "Bacterial small subunit ribosomal RNA", at positions 9 to 416 of the family's 1533-position model. The record is from RNAcentral.